Molecule: long non-coding RNA, 180 nt
Organism: Sinocyclocheilus anshuiensis
Lineage: Eukaryota; Metazoa; Chordata; Actinopteri; Cypriniformes; Cyprinidae
Exons: 2
Source: RefSeq, a predicted model, not a curated record
AGGGCUGGAGGAAUUGCGCCAGAGGGGAAUGGAGUUACAGGCCUUUAUCCAGAGAUUCUGGACUGGGGCGGAGAGGCUGGGCGUUCAAGAUAUUUGCAGCUCCGGAAGGAGAGUAAGAUUAAUCACCAUCACCAGAAUCUAUCUGCAGGGACCAUCCCACCCAUACCUCACUCGUCUAAU